Molecule: ribosomal RNA, 468 nt
Filed under: uncultured bacterium
Lineage: Bacteria
Description: partial 16S ribosomal RNA
Rfam family: Bacterial small subunit ribosomal RNA
Source: RNAcentral
GACGAACGCUGGCGGCGUGCUUAACACAUGCAAGUCGAACGGAAAGGCCGUGCUUUUGUGGGGUGCUCGAGUGGCGAACGGGUGAGUAACACGUGAGUAACCUGCCCCUGACUUUGGGAUAACUUCAGGAAACUGGGGCUAAUACCGGAUAGGAGCUCCUGCUGCAUGGUGGGGGUUGGAAAGUUUCGGCGGUUGGGGAUGGACUCGCGGCUUAUCAGCUUGUUGGUGGGGUAGUGGCUUACCAAGGCUUUGACGGGUAGCCGGCCUGGGAGGGUGACAGGCCACAUUGGGACUGAGAUACGGCCCAGACUCCUACGGGACGCAACGGUGGGGAAUAUUGCACAGUGGGCGGCAGCCUAAUGCGGCACCACCGCGUGCGGAAUGUCAGCCUUGGGGUUGUGAACCGAUUUCGCCUGUGACGAAGCGUGAGUGACGGUACUGGGUGAAGAAGCACCGGCUAACUCCGUG